RNAcentral lists this ribosomal RNA (496 nucleotides) under uncultured bacterium. RNAcentral's name for it is "partial 16S ribosomal RNA". It matches the Rfam family "Bacterial small subunit ribosomal RNA", at positions 28 to 523 of the family's 1533-position model. The record is from RNAcentral.
GAUGAACGCUAGCUACAGGCUUAACACAUGCAAGUCGAGGGGUAGAAGAGGCUUGCUUCUUUGAGACCGGCGCACGGGUGCGUAACGCGUAUGCAACCUACCUUCAUCUGGGGGAUAGCCCGGAGAAAUCCGGAUUAAUACCGCAUAAAAUCACAGGAUGGCAUUAUCCAAUGAUCAAACAUUUAUGGGAUGGAGAUGGGCAUGCGUGUCAUUAGCUAGUUGGCGGGGUAACGGCCCACCAAGGCGACGAUGACUAGGGGAUCUGAGAGGAUGGCCCCCCACACUGGUACUGAGACACGGACCAGACUCCUACGGGAGGCAGCAGUAAGGAAUAUUGGUCAAUGGAGGCAACUCUGAACCAGCCAUGCCGCGUGCAGGAAGACUGCCCUAUGGGUUGUAAACUGCUUUUAUUCGGGAAUAAACCUUAUUACGUGUAAUAAGCUGAAUGUACCGAAGGAAUAAGGAUCGGCUAACUCCGUGCCAGCCGCCGCGGUAA